AGCGAACGCUGGCGGCAGGCUUAACACAUGCAAGUCGAACGGAUCCUUCGGGAUUAGUGGCGGACGGGUGAGUAACACGUGGGAACGUGCCUUUUGGUUCGGAACAACACAGGGAAACUUGUGCUAAUACCGGAUGUGCCCUUCGGGGAAGGAUUUAUCGCCAUUAGAGCGGCCCGCGUCUGAUUAGCUUGUUGGUGAGGUAAAGGCUCACCAAGGCUACGAUCAGUAGCUGGUCUGAGAGGAUGAUCAGCCACACUGGGACUGAGACACGGCCCAGACUCCUACGGGAGGCAGCAGUGGGGAAGUCUUGCGCAAUGGGGGAAACCCUGACGCAGCCAUGCCGCGUGAAUGAUGAAGGUCUUAGGAUU
This 368-nucleotide ribosomal RNA is filed under the name uncultured bacterium. RNAcentral describes it as "bacterial SSU rRNA". It matches the Rfam family "Bacterial small subunit ribosomal RNA", at positions 29 to 424 of the family's 1533-position model. The record is from RNAcentral.